RNAcentral lists this ribosomal RNA (422 nucleotides) under uncultured bacterium. RNAcentral's name for it is "bacterial SSU rRNA". It matches the Rfam family "Bacterial small subunit ribosomal RNA", at positions 30 to 452 of the family's 1533-position model. The record is from RNAcentral.
AUUGAACGCUGGCGGCAUGCCUUACACAUGCAAGUCGAACGGCAGCACGGGAGCAAUCCUGGUGGCGAGUGGCGAACGGGUGAGUAAUAUAUCGGAACGUGCCCAGUCGUGGGGAUAACGUAGCGAAAGCUACGCUAAUACCGCAUACGAUCUAUGGAUGAAAGCGGGGGAGUCGCAAGACCUCGCGCGAUUGGAGCGGCCGAUAUCAGAUUAGGUAGUUGGUGAGGUAAAGGACUCACCAAGCCGACGAUCUGUAGCUGGUCUGAGAGGACGACCAGCCACACUGGGACUGAGACACGGCCCAGACUCCUACGGGAGGCAGCAGUGGGGAAUUUUGGACAAUGGGCGGCAAGCCUGAUCCAGCAAUGCCGCGUGCAGGAUGAAGGCCUCGGUUGUAACUAGUACUUUGUUUACGGUAACGG